RNAcentral lists this ribosomal RNA (1242 nucleotides) under metagenome. Its description in RNAcentral is "bacterial LSU rRNA". It matches the Rfam family "Bacterial large subunit ribosomal RNA", at positions 1564 to 2817 of the family's 2925-position model. The record is from RNAcentral.
UGAAUACGAGACGCUAAGGCGUCGAAGUAGUGUAUGUCAUACUUCCAAGAAAAGCUUGCACUGUCAUAGAUAAAAAACGCCUGUACCAUAACCGACACAGGUGGGUAGGUAGAGUAUACUAAGGGGCGCGAGAUAACUCUCUCAAAGGAACUCGGCAAAAUAACUCCGUAACUUCGGGAGAAGGAGUGCCUUAUUCUUAAGGUUGCAAUAACAAGAUCCAAGCAACUGUUUAUCAAAAACACAGGUCUCCGCUAAGUCGUAAGACGAUGUAUGGGGGCUGACGCCUGCCCAGUGCCAGAAGGUUAAAGAAGCUGGUUAGCAUUUGCGAAGCUAGUAACUGAAGCCCUGGUGAACGGCGGCCGUAACUAUAACGGUCCUAAGGUAGCGAAAUUCCUCGUCGGGUAAGUUCCGACCCGCACGAAAGGCGUAAUGAUUUGGAUACUGUCUCGGAGAGGGGCUCGGUAAAUAGACUUGUCUGUGAAGAUGCGGACUACCUGCACCAGGACAGAAAGACCCCAUGAAGCUUUACUGUAACUUGAAAUUGAAAUUGGACUUUAUUCGCGCAGUAUAGGUGGGAGGCGUUGAUUAUAAUCUUGCGGGAUUAUUGGAGCCAUUAGUGAGAUACCACUCUUGUAAUGUUAGAUUUCUAACUUUGAAUCAUUAUCUGGUCAAAGAACAGUUUCAGGCGGGCAGUUUGACUGGGGCGGUCGCCUCCUAAACGGUAACGGAGGCGUACAAAGGUUUCCUCUGAACGGUUAGAAAUCGUAUCUAGAGUGUAAAGGCAUAAGGAAGCUUGACUGUGAGACCUACAAGUCGAGCAGGGACGAAAGUCGGUCUUAGUGAUCUGACGGUACUGAGUGGAAAGGCCGUCACUCAACGGAUAAAAGUUACUCUAGGAUAACAGGCUGAUCUCCCCCAAGAGUUCACAUCGACGGGGAGGUUUGGCACCUCGAUGUCGGCUCAUCGCAUCCUGGGGCGGUAGUACGUCCCAAGGGUUGGGCUGUUCGCCCAUGAAAGCGGUACGCGAGCUGGGUUCAGAACGUCGUGAGACAGUUCGGUCCAUAUCCGGUGUAGGCGUUAGAAUAUUGAGAGGAGCCUUCUUUAGUACGAGAGGACCGAGAAGGACAUACCUCUGGUGUACCAGUUAUCGUGCCAACGGUAAACGCUGGGUAGCUAUGUAUGGAGUGGAUAACCGCUGAAAGCAUCUAAGUGGGAAGCCCACCUCAAGAUAAGUAUUCUCAC